RNAcentral lists this long non-coding RNA (2301 nucleotides) under Triticum aestivum (bread wheat). RNAcentral's name for it is "long non-coding RNA (TAES_LNC009947)". The record is from RNAcentral. Lineage: Eukaryota; Viridiplantae; Streptophyta; Magnoliopsida; Poales; Poaceae.
GCAUUGUUGCAUGUCAUGAAACAACAAAGUAUUUUUUAUUCAAAUACCUCAAACCUUGUAAUUUACUCUAUACAAAUAUAACUAUCUUUUUCUACACAUGAUGCAUUACGCACUGCAAGUACAUAAUGAAAGUGUGCAUAUUCAAACUAUUAUUGCCUCAAUAAUGACAAACCCAGUGCUAAGCUUCCACACCAGGACCUCUCGAGACAAAUGGGGAGUAUUUCACCCACUCAAGACAAAUGGGGAGUAUUUCACCCACUCGGAUACAUUCACAAAAAAAGUAUCAAUUUGCUCGCUCAAAAAAAACUAAAAUUGUUCGCAAAAGGCAUCCCUAAACACUUGGAUACAUGCAGUGCGGAAACAAUCCCCUCGCCCAGCAUCUCGGACAAACUCCCAUCAAGAUGAACACACACCUGCACAGUUCCUGAUUUGUUACUCGAUGAAACAUACAGUUAUUUUCUUUCUAGAAUACACUUAAUCUUUAAAAAAAUAGGUAAACAUGUUUUAGCAAAUUCUCCCAUCCAUUUUAACAGCUUCUUUGAUGUUCCUUUCUUGCUCUGCAAUAAAUGAAGUACAGGUCCCGACGCCGCUUAAUCAUGCAGAGCUCAUAAUUUAGAAACUUUCCAGCCCAUUCGGUAACACCAUACAUGAUUAUCUCACAUUGCACAGCCUACAGAUGAUGAAACACGUUAAAGAUCAUCAGCUACAAUGGUUAAACAUUGUACACACAUAUAUAAAUUGAUAAUUAGGUUUUGAUAAAAAAUCAAAACAGAGUACCAUAUCCUGUUGAGACCGUGAUGGCACAUACUGAAGUUCAUAGAUAUCUAAGAUUGCUAGGUUAUGAAUUAUCCUUUUGGAACGUUGCACACGUGCAAGUGCACAGUCAAACUAUAUAUGCAUCAACAUAUGACUCAAUUAUUCAUGACAUAUAGGACUGCCACGAGGAUCAAAUAGAUAACAAUUAUGAGCAAAUGGUGUUGUGUGACAUCUCCCAACUCGAUUAAUCAAAUUUUUUUGUUACUGAAUUAUCCAUAUGUGAAAAUUUCAAUGUAGAACUAAGUUAUUUUUGUAUAGAGAACUUCUUCCUUGGUUCACAAAGAGGUUCAGCAGCCAUCCUAAAUGAGCAAUGAAACAUACCUUGAAUUACUUGAGCAAAGAAGAUGUUUGCAGAGGGAAGUAAGUCGAACCCUUGUCUUAUCAAUUGUACAAUUAGUCAGUCGGAUAUUGCAAAAAAUGGUCAUCCAUCAUCUAAUGGUUCCAUAUUAAGAAUGUUGACAGACAUGCAGGUCUCCUCAGUAUUGUUAGACAAACCAUUUGAAAAUAAUCAUGCUCCAAAAUGUGCAUGAUUAAUAAGACAAUACAUGUGCAAUUCAAGCCUUAUAUUAGCAUGUGUUUCCAGACCUGCCUAUUAUAUCAAAGAAACAAUAUAGAUAUUAACUAAAGUCGGAAAAGACCGUACUCUUCCUAAAUGUAUCAAAUGGAACCACCUGUCUAAAUGAUGUGCAGAAAUAAAUAUUAAAUAUGCAUCUAUUGGAGCUAUCAGUCACCUUUUAAUUGUUACAUAGUGACUGUGGAUUAGUGGUAAAGCUUCGCAAGCUGUUGCACUCGCCCAAACAAAUCAGAAACCAAAUCAGUUCUAGUUAAUCCGCUAAAAAAUAUAAGAAAAUAAAAUUCAAGAUUUACCAUCAAAUAGCUUGAAAUGUGAACAUGUGUGAAUCAAGAGAGGCCCAUUGUUUAAUCCAUUGCAAAUAUAUCGAGAACCUGCAAAGGUGGGACUAUCAUGUGCAUGAAGAUGGGAUCAAAUACCAACUCAACAGGUUCAUGGCUGCAGUACUCAUUAUCUGUAUUUACCUGACAUAAUGCUAAUUUAGAGAUGCUGGAUGCAAGCUGAUGGAGCAGUGGGCAGCAUCAAUCAGACAUACUGGUAGAUCAGGUGACUCUGCUGCUCCACCCUCAGUGUAUUGGCGCUGCUGCCUGCUCCUUCCCGCGACGCUCCAAAUUGAAUCUAGCCGUUUGCCCUUGAAGCACUAAAGAUGACACGAAGCAGAACAUAUAUGAACUUCUAAGAAAUUAAUCACAUCGUAACCUCGUUGGUUUGAGCUUGCCCAUCCACUUUAUUAGUGUCAUUCCCAAGCCCUUCAAAAAACAUAGGAGGUGGAGGCUCAAUUGCGGCUACAACAUCAUCCAUACCGACAAAGUCUGGAUUAGUAUUAUCAUUGUCUAGAUUCAUGAAACACAGUAAUAAGGAUUCACAAAAUACAACUCAUUAAGUACACAGUAUUUGAACCUUGGACAACCGGG